GGGGCCGUAGCUCAAUUGGGAGAGCGCAUGACUGGCAGUCAUGAGGUCGUCGGUUCGAUCCCGAUCGGCUCCACCA
This 76-nucleotide transfer RNA is filed under the name Candidatus Cloacimonetes bacterium 4572_55. RNAcentral's name for it is "tRNA-Ala". It matches the Rfam family "tRNA". Rfam says of the family: Transfer RNA (tRNA) molecules are approximately 80 nucleotides in length. Lineage: Bacteria; Pseudomonadati; Candidatus Cloacimonadota. RNAcentral also lists the same sequence under 1 other name. The record is from RNAcentral.